This 1005-nucleotide ribosomal RNA is filed under the name Epicoccum poae. RNAcentral's name for it is "partial large subunit ribosomal RNA". It matches the Rfam family "Eukaryotic large subunit ribosomal RNA", at positions 82 to 1107 of the family's 3401-position model. Lineage: Eukaryota; Fungi; Ascomycota; Dothideomycetes; Pleosporales; Didymellaceae. The record is from RNAcentral.
AGUAACGGCGAGUGAAGCGGCAACAGCUCAAAUUUGAAAUCUGGCGUCUUUGGCGUCCGAGUUGUAAUUUGCAGAGGGCGCUUUGGCAUUGGCAGCGGUCCAAGUUCCUUGGAACAGGACGUCACAGAGGGUGAGAAUCCCGUACGUGGUCGCUAGCCUUUACCGUGUAAAGCCCCUUCGACGAGUCGAGUUGUUUGGGAAUGCAGCUCUAAAUGGGAGGUAAAUUUCUUCUAAAGCUAAAUACUGGCCAGAGACCGAUAGCGCACAAGUAGAGUGAUCGAAAGAUGAAAAGCACUUUGGAAAGAGAGUUAAAAAGCACGUGAAAUUGUUGAAAGGGAAGCGCUUGCAGCCAGACUUGCCUGUAGUUGCUCAUCCGGGUUUUUACCCGGUGCACUCUUCUACGGGCAGGCCAGCAUCAGUUUGGGCGGUUGGAUAAAGGUCUCUGUCACGUACCUCCUCUCGGGGAGAUCUUAUAGGGGAGACGACAUGCAACCAGCCUGGACUGAGGUCCGCGCAUCUGCUAGGAUGCUGGCGUAAUGGCUGUAAGCGGCCCGUCUUGAAACACGGACCAAGGAGUCUAACAUCUAUGCGAGUGUUUGGGUGUCAAGCCCGAACGCGUAAUGAAAGUGAACGGAGGUGGGAACCUUUCGGGGUGCACCAUCGACCGAUCCUGAUGUCUUCGGAUGGAUUUGAGUAAGAGCAUAGCUGUUGGGACCCGAAAGAUGGUGAACUAUGCUUGAAUAGGGUGAAGCCAGAGGAAACUCUGGUGGAGGCUCGCAGCGGUUCUGACGUGCAAAUCGAUCGUCAAAUUUGGGCAUAGGGGCGAAAGACUAAUCGAACUAUCUAGUAGCUGGUUCCUGCCGAAGUUUCCCUCAGGAUAGCAGUAACGUUUUCAGUUUUAUGAGGUAAAGCGAAUGAUUAGAGGCCUGGGGGUUGAAACAACCUUCACCUAUUCUCAAACUUUAAAUAUGUAAGAAGUCCUUGUUACUUAAUUGAACGUGGACA